This 415-nucleotide ribosomal RNA is filed under the name uncultured prokaryote. Its description in RNAcentral is "bacterial SSU rRNA". It matches the Rfam family "Bacterial small subunit ribosomal RNA", at positions 505 to 918 of the family's 1533-position model. The record is from RNAcentral.
GUGUCAGCCGCCGCGGUAAGACGGAGGGAGCAAGCGUUGUCCGGAUUUAUUGGGCGUAAAGCGCGCGUAGGUGGUCUGCUAAGUCGGCUGUGAAAUCGCUGGGCUCAACUCAGCAAUGCCAGUCGAUACUGGUGGACUAGAGUCCGGGAGAGGGAAGUGGAAUUGCUGGUGUAGCGGUGGAAUGCGUAGAGAUCAGCAAGAACACCCGUGGCGAAGGCGGCUUCCUGGACCGGCACUGACACUGAGGCGCGAAAGCUAGGGGAGCGAACGGGAUUAGAUACCCCGGUAGUCCUAGCUGUAAACGAUGGUCACUAGGUGUUGGGAGCAUCGACCCUCUCAGUGCCGAAGCUAACGCAUUAAGUGACCCGCCUGGGGAGUACGGCCGCAAGGUUGAAACUUAAAUGAAUUGACGGGG